CAGCCGCCGCGGUAAUACGUAGGGAGCAAGCGUUAUCCGGAUUCAUUGGGCGUAAAGCGCGCGUAGGCGGCUUGUUAAGUCGGGUGUUAAAACGUGGGGCUCAACCCUGCGGCGCAUCCGAUACUGGCAAGCUUGAGUUCGGUAGGGGAGAGUGGAAUUCCCAGUGUAGCGGUGGAAUGCGCAGAUAUUGGGAAGAACACCGGUGGCGAAGGCGGCUCUCUGGGCCGUAACUGACGCUGAGGCGCGAAAGCUGGGGGAGCGAACAGGAUUAGAUACCCUGGUAGUCCCAGCCGUAAACGAUGGACACUAGGUGUGGGGGGAUGAACCUUCCGUGCCGUAGCUAACGCAAUAAGUGUCCCGCCUGGGGAGUACGGUCGCAAGACUAAAACUCAAAGGAAUUGACGGGGGCCCGCACAAGCAGCGGAGCAUGUGGCUUAAUUCGAAGCAACGCGAAGAACCUUACCAGGGCUUGACAUGGUAGUGAAGCGGUGGAAACACCGUGGCCGAAAGGAGCUACCACAGGUGGUGCAUGGCC
This 535-nucleotide ribosomal RNA is filed under the name uncultured archaeon. RNAcentral's name for it is "bacterial SSU rRNA". It matches the Rfam family "Bacterial small subunit ribosomal RNA", at positions 509 to 1050 of the family's 1533-position model. The record is from RNAcentral.